GGCAUAGGCAUAUAUUUAAUCACAAGCAGAAACAAAAUGUUACUUCUUAGUCAGUCUUAGUCUGAUACCCGUGAACCCAGAACGUAAUUGCAACAGUCCUUCAUAAAAAAGGUAGUAAACUAUAUUCCUAUCCAUUUGGAAGCGGACAAACUACCAUCGUCUGCAAUCAUGCAGCCAGUUCUAGUAGUAGUGUUUGCUUGUAUGCUGGCUACUGUCUCAGCGACUUCAGACCCAUACCACAAUGUACAACCAGAGCUCCCUUUCAUGUUCUCACCGGCAGAUAAUGCAACUUUUCUGGGCGGUAUCAGUGAACAAGAGAACAGUAAGUUAUUUGUUACGGAAAUGCCUAUAUUCGAAACACACAACAUAGUAGUUAUUGUACUCUAAAUCCUAAUUUAUAGAAUGUUUAACUGUAAUAAAUUAUUUGAAAACACAAAUUAUUCAGUGUUUACUUGUAAUCUCUUUGGACUGUAAAAUUGGUAAUCAUUAAAAAGUAAUAAAAAGGC
Molecule: long non-coding RNA, 506 nt
Organism: Homalodisca vitripennis (glassy-winged sharpshooter)
Lineage: Eukaryota; Metazoa; Arthropoda; Insecta; Hemiptera; Cicadellidae
Exons: 3
Source: RefSeq, a predicted model, not a curated record